UAACUGUGGUUUCCCUUCAGAAUUCGGAUAAAUCUUUCGCCUUUUACUAAAGAUUUCCGUGGAGGGGAACAAUUGAUCAGUCUAUAUAAAUUUUUUAUAGUACCUUGACUUUCGUCGAGGU
RNAcentral lists this small nuclear RNA (121 nucleotides) under Apis mellifera (honey bee). RNAcentral's name for it is "U5 spliceosomal RNA". It matches the Rfam family "U5 spliceosomal RNA". From Rfam's summary of the family: U5 RNA is a component of both types of known spliceosome. Lineage: Eukaryota; Metazoa; Arthropoda; Insecta; Hymenoptera; Apidae. The record is from RNAcentral.